Molecule: non-coding RNA, 771 nt
Organism: Cinara cedri
Lineage: Eukaryota; Metazoa; Arthropoda; Insecta; Hemiptera; Aphididae
Source: the annotation of a GenBank genome assembly
AUAAACAAAAUAUUUAUCUUUGAAGAAAUUAUGUUUAUAUCUUAAUAAUUUGUAGUUUAUUUACACACAGAUAUGUUUAUGUUCAUAGCUACUAUAGGUAUCAAUUAUACUUUAACAAAUAUAAUUUAAUAUUUUUAUAUUAUACACCAUUCAAUUAUAUUAUUAUCAUUAAUUCUUUUUGUGUCAAUAUUUAAACAAUAAAAACAUUUGAUAAAAUUUUAUAAAAGCAAAUGUUUACUUUUAUUUAAUGAUUAUUAUUUUUCAUCAUGAAUAUUUAGACGAAGCGCACACCUAGGUGGUGGUGAGUUGUGCGACUCGGCGUUGCGGAAUACGCUGCAAAUGCAAGCCAAAGCACACUUGGGAUUUACAGUUUCAGCACAGUGAAUAGAUACUACUAUCUACACCCUAAGACCGUGUGAUUGUUAGAAUACUAAUAUUAUACUAACAUUUUUAAUGUUGUUUUGUUUUUUUAAAACAACAAAUACAAUUUAUUAUUUUAUAUAUAUUUUUAAGUCCUAAAUAUAGUCUUUAUAUAGCAAUUAUGUUGAGUUCAGAUGAUGAGCAUUCAGCAUUAUCGUUGUUGCUAAGUAAUAAUGAAAUAGAAAAAACAAAACUAUUGGGUGCAACCGUACCAUAAAAAAUUGAUGACUUUUUGGGAAUCGGAUAAAUUCAUGAUAAAAUAGAAAAAAAUUACUCGAUUCGACCGAGCAUUAACUACAAAUGAGCGGUUGUUAAUUACAUUGAGUUAAAGUUGUUUUAAAUACUUGAUAC